GACGAACGCUGGCGGCGUGCUUAACACAUGCAAGUCGAACGGAAAGGCCCUGCUUUUGUGGGGUGCUCGAGUGGCGAACGGGUGAGUAACAAGUGAGUAACCUGCCCUUGACUUUGGGAUAACUGCAGGAAACUGGGGCUAAUACCGGAAAGGAGCUCCUGCUGAAUGGUGGGGGUGGGAAAGUUUCGGCGGUUGGGGAUGGACUCGCGGCUUAUCAGCUUGUUGGUGGGGUAGUGGCUUACCAAGGCUUUGACGGGUAGCCGGCCUGAGAGGGUGACCGGCCACAUUGGGACUGAGAUACGGCCCAGACUCCUACGGGAGGCAGCAGUGGGGAAUAUUGCACAAUGGGCGGAAGCCUGAUGCAGCAACGCCGCGUGCGGGAUGACGGCCUUCGGGUUGUAAACCGCUUUCGCCUGUGACGAAGCGUGAGUGACGGUAAUGGGUAAAGAAGCACCGGCUAACUACGUG
Molecule: ribosomal RNA, 468 nt
Filed under: uncultured bacterium
Lineage: Bacteria
Description: partial 16S ribosomal RNA
Rfam family: Bacterial small subunit ribosomal RNA
Source: RNAcentral